This 911-nucleotide ribosomal RNA is filed under the name uncultured Bacillota bacterium. RNAcentral describes it as "bacterial SSU rRNA". It matches the Rfam family "Bacterial small subunit ribosomal RNA", at positions 1 to 917 of the family's 1533-position model. Lineage: Bacteria; Bacillati; Bacillota. The record is from RNAcentral.
UUGGAUCCAGACUUUGAUUAUGGCUCAGGGUAAACGCUGGCGGCGCACAUAAGACAUGCAAGUCGAACGGACUUAACCCGAAUGUUUACAUUUGGGAGCGGUUAGUGGCGGACUGGUGAGUAACACGUAAGCAACCUGCCUAUUAGAGGGGAAUAACAGUGAGAAAUCAUUGCUAAUACCGCAUAUGCCAUAGAAACCACAUGGUUUCAGUGGGAAAGGAGCAAUCCGCUCAUAGAUGGGCUUGCGUCUGAUUAGAUAGUUGGUGGGGUAAUGGCCUACCAAGUCGACGGUCAGUAGCCGGACUGAGAGGUUGAACGGCCACAUUGGGACUGAGAUACGGCCCAGACUCCUACGGGAGGCAGCAGUCGGGAAUAUUGCACAAUGGAGGAAACUCUGAUGCAGUGACGCCGCGUGCAGGAAGAAGGUUUUCGGAUUGUAAACUGCUUUAGACAGGGAAGAAACAAGACAGUACCUGUAGAAUAAGCUCCGGCUAACUACGUGCCAGCAGCCGCGGUAAUACGUAGGGAGCAAGCGUUAUCCGGAUUUAUUGGGUGUAAAGGGUGCGUAGACGGGUAUAUAAGUUAGUUGUGAAAUCCCUCGGCUCAACUGAGGAACUGCAACUAAAACUGUAAAUCUUGAGUGCGGGAGAGGAAAGUGGAAUUCCUAGUGUAGCGGUGAAAUGCGUAGAUAUUAGGAGGAACACCAGUGGCGAAGGCGACUUUCUGGACCGUAACUGACGUUGAGGCACGAAAGUGUGGGGAGCAAACAGGAUUAGAUACCCUGGUAGUCCACACUGUAAACGAUGGAUACUAGGUGUAGGUGUUAUUAAGACAUCUGUGCCGUCGCAAACGCAGUAAGUAUCCCACCUGGGGAGUACGACCGCAAGGUUGCAACUCAAAGGAAUUGACGGA